RNAcentral lists this ribosomal RNA (368 nucleotides) under uncultured bacterium. Its description in RNAcentral is "bacterial SSU rRNA". It matches the Rfam family "Bacterial small subunit ribosomal RNA", at positions 527 to 896 of the family's 1533-position model. The record is from RNAcentral.
GGAGGGUGCAAGCGUUAAUCGGAAUUACUGGGCGUAAAGCGCACGCAGGCGGUUUGUUAAGUCAGAUGUGAAAUCCCCGCGCUCAACGUGGGAACGGCAUUUGAGACUGGCAAGCUAGAGUCUUGUAGAGGGGGUAGAAUUCCAGGUGUAGCGGUGAAAUACGUAGAGAUCUGGAGGAAUACCGGUGGCGAAGGCGGCCCCCUGGACAAAGACUGACGCUCAGGUGCGAAAGCGUGGGAGCAAACAGGAUUAGAUACCCUGGUAGUCCACGCUGUAAACGAUGUCGAUUUGGAGGUUGCGCCCUUGAGGGGUGGCUUCCGUAGCUAACGCGUUAAGUCGACCGCCUGGGGAGUACGGCCGCAAGGUUA